AUAUUUAAAUCACAACGUAAUAAAUCAGAGGUCAAUUUUAAAAAUGGCCAGAGUCAGAACUUUCUCCCUCACUGAAAUACAACUGGAAACCCAGCACCCCAGUUCAAAAUACUUAAUGGGUUAAAGAAAACUAAGUGGAAGUUAUAAAAUAUUUAGCAUGGACUGGAAUGCGGGCACAGUAAACUGAGAAUGCAGCUAAAUAGGUAUUUUAGGAGACAUCAUCAUAGACUUAAAAGCCCAUAUUCAGAGAUAAGGAAGACGAAAAAUUAAUGGACCAAGCAUCCAACUCAAGAUGAUGUGAAUAAUUACAAAAUGACCUCAAUCAAUCAAUCAAUCAAUCAAUCAAGGCAAGAGGCAUAGAAAAGCGUGAGAUGAACGCACUCCCUAGAACUCUGGAAAGAUUGGGGCUCACUCCAGCUAGCGAACGUGGUUAGCCAAACUGGAGACUGAACACAGAUGGGCAGCAAACACCUGUCUUACACAAUAACAUCCACAGAGCGCUUUCCCGUGCUUGAUUAGAUAUUGACCUCUGUGACUGCAACUGUCAGGCGAGGGCACUAAAGCUUGUUCCUCAGGAGAUCUUCAGGUAGGAUCUUAAACUUGGGUGCCCUGCCCAGGUCAGAGCUGCUUCUCAGCUCUGUUUCUCAGCCCUCUGCCAGCACGCUAUUGCUGGAGAAAUGUUAUCAAUCAUUUGUCAUUAUUUCCCGCGGGUGUCUUGACUCUGGACUCUAACAAAAUAGGAAAUUCUUACCUUCUCUGAAUAAUUAUUUCAGAAAAGACACCGUUCUGGUCCCUGCCUCCAGGGCUAACCAUAACGUGAACUCAAGGUGUGAGGCUAACCUGAUGGCCACGCAUGUUUGGUCACCAGAGUCCGAGAAUCCCCCUUAACAUUUGGAAUUCCUGAUUUACAAAGCUAUCUUGUGACAAACCUACUACACUUUAGAUAGUAAAUAUUUGAAGUUUUGAUUCACACUGAGCAUCAUCUGCUUUGUCAGCUGAGAGCAUUAUCUUAAUAAAAUACAUCUGGUUUCCAAUGGUAAACCUGUAUUUCAGGAUUGGAUUUCUCGCUCAUGUCAGUGACUGAGGGAAUACAGCAAACCAGAUAUUAGGUUCAAAUCGGUUAUUACAUUUUGUUGAUAGCCUUUUGUGUUUCUAGUGCAUAAGGAAUAAAUAAGUAACUGAAUCAAUAUAUAUUUAUUUAGCAGGGCUAUGUUUCCACUACUUUUCAGAAAUGUAUUAUCUAGCACUGUUGCCUAAUUUACUCUGAGACUAUUGUUUCCCUCUGUGUUUUCUGAUAUAAUCUCAAAAAAUAAAAACCAGAAGCAAACGUAAUUCUGUCAUUCUAUUUUUGUUGGAAGCAAGGCGGUUGCUGUUAUUCGGUUUGGGGGAAAUUAAAGGCGGCACUUGAGAUCUGAAAAAUUUCCUGGACUUAAAAAUAAUCUUUGACAGUGUGAACAGCAGGGCCAGUGUGGCAUCCUUUGUGUAACAGGCAGAAUAAGCCAAUUUAUUUGCAGUAAGAUUUUCUCUCUUUAUAUAGUCAAAUAAAUCCCAUUCAUGUGUGGAGAUAAUUGCAGGGACAUGGAAAACCACUGUCAAAGCACCACAUUUUGAUGGGAAGCUGCUAGGAAUGAGCACUUUAAGAGAACCAAAAGGGUAUAGUGAUCGGGUUCAGCUUUUGAAGCAGACACACCGGCUUUGAAUCAUCUCUGAUUCUCACCAGCCGUCUGACCUCACUUUUUAAAUCUCCGAAAGGAGAAUGGUGAUAGUAUCCGAGUGAUUAGCCCGUUGUGAGAAUUAAAAGAAGCCAAACUUACGAAGGCCGGCAGCUCCGUGCCUGACCCACGGUGAACCCUUCCCUGUCUCCAAGGAAACUAUGAGCACAGCAAUUCAAGGAAACAACAAAAAAAACAGGGAGUUUUUCACCAUUCAUGGGAGGCAUCCAGGAGUUGAGAACUAUGCAGGUGCAUAGGUGAAUCUUCCUUCCAAUUAGAGAGAACCCACCCUUAGUUCCGUCAGAGUUCGAGAAGCCAUGAGAUCACUAAAGGAUAGGGAAGUGUUCCAGGACCAAGGCCUAUUCUUAGGUGGCUGGAUUGGAGUUGACAAAUGACAUGCAUGAGACUGCAUUUCUCAACACCAGGAGUAGCUUGUGGAGCUGAAGAAAGAAAUCAAAGUCAUUUCUAUCAAUAAAUAAAACUUAGGCCUUGAAAACCAUCAGUUUACCCUUGCCUGUCUCUUCUCUCUGCGUGUUGGUCUGAUUUUCUUCUGUUGUCAAAUGACUUUCCCUUUGUGGCACUGAUCACGGCUACUGGCAACUUCCAGGACCAUAUUCUAACAGCCUGGAAACCA
Molecule: long non-coding RNA, 2346 nt
Organism: Felis catus (domestic cat)
Lineage: Eukaryota; Metazoa; Chordata; Mammalia; Carnivora; Felidae
Exons: 3
Source: RefSeq, a predicted model, not a curated record